AUUGAACGCUGGCGGCAUGCCUUACACAUGCAAGUCGAACGGCAGCACGGGAGCAAUCCUGGUGGCGAGUGGCGAACGGGUGAGUAAAGUAUCGGAACGUGCCCAGUCGUGGGGGAUAACGUAGCGAAAGUUACGCUAAUACCGCAUACGAUCUACGGAUGAAAGCGGGGGAUCGCAAGACCUCGCGCGAUUGGAGCGGCUGAUAUCAGAUUAGGUAGUUGGUGGGGUAAAGGCUCACCAAGCCGACGAACUGUAGCUGGUCUGAGAGGACGACCAGCCACACUGGGACUGAGACACGGCCCAGACUCCUACGGGAGGCAGCAGUGGGGAAUUUUGGACAAUGGGCGCAAGCCUGAUCCAGCCAUGCCGCGUGCAGGAUGAAGGCCUUCGGGUUGUAAACUGCUUUUGUACGGAACGAAAAGGUUUGGCCUAAUAAGCUGGACCCAUGACGGUACCGUAAGAAUAAGCACCGGCUAACUACGUGCCAGCCGCCGCAGUAA
RNAcentral lists this ribosomal RNA (500 nucleotides) under uncultured bacterium. RNAcentral's name for it is "partial 16S ribosomal RNA". It matches the Rfam family "Bacterial small subunit ribosomal RNA", at positions 30 to 523 of the family's 1533-position model. The record is from RNAcentral.